UGGGGAAUCUUGCACAAUGGGGGAAACCCUGAUGCAGCGUCGCCGCGUGAGCGAUGAAGGUUUUCGAAUCGUAAAGCUCUGUCCUAUGGGAAGAUAAUGACGGUACCAUAGGAGGAAGCCCCGGCUAACUACGUGCCAGCAGCCGCGGCAAUACGUAGGGGGCGAGCGUUGUCCGGAAUUACUGGGCGUAAAGGGUUCGCAGGCGGCAUGACAAGUCCGAUGUAAAAGGCGAAAGCUCAACUUUCGUAAGCAUCGGAAACUGUCAAGCUUGAGUGAAGGAGAGGCAAGUGGAAUUCCUAGUGUAGCGGUGGAAUGCGUAAAUAUUAGGAGGAAUACCGGUGGCGAAGGCGACUUGCUGGAAAUAAACUGACACUGAGGAACGAAAGCGUGGGUAGCAAACAGG
This 403-nucleotide ribosomal RNA is filed under the name bacterium. RNAcentral's name for it is "partial 16S ribosomal RNA". It matches the Rfam family "Bacterial small subunit ribosomal RNA", at positions 355 to 776 of the family's 1533-position model. The record is from RNAcentral.